RNAcentral lists this ribosomal RNA (498 nucleotides) under uncultured bacterium. RNAcentral's name for it is "partial 16S ribosomal RNA". It matches the Rfam family "Bacterial small subunit ribosomal RNA", at positions 28 to 507 of the family's 1533-position model. The record is from RNAcentral.
GAUGAACGCUGGCGGCGUGCCUAAUACAUGCAAGUCGAGCGAACUUUUGGGAGCUUGCUCCCAAAAGUUAGCGGCGGACGGGUGAGUAACACGUGGGUAACCUGCCUGUAAGACUGGGAUAACUUCGGGAAACCGGAGCUAAUACCGGAUAACAUUGAAGGCCACAUGGCCUUCAAUUAAAAGGUGGCUUUUAGCUACCACUUACAGAUGGACCCGCGGCGCAUUAGCUAGUUGGUGAGGUAACGGCUCACCAAGGCGACGAGGCGUAGCCGACCUGAGAGGGUGAUCUGCCCCCCUGGGACUGGGACACGGCCCAGACUCCUACGGGAGGCAGCAGUAGGGAAUCUUCCGCCAUGGACGAAAGUCUGACGGAGCACCGCCGCGUGAGCGAAGAAGGCCUUCGGGUCGUAAAGCUCUGUUGUUAGGGAAGAACAAGUAUCGUUCGAAUAGGGCGGUACCUUGACGGUACCUAACCAGAAAGCCACGGCUAACUACGUG